ACCAAUCCUGAUUCAGGGAGGUAGUGACAAUAAAUAACAAAUCCAGGACUUCGGUCUUGGAAUUGGAAUGAGGAACCAAUUUAAAUCUCUUAUCGGAGGGAACAAUUGGAGGGCAAGUCUUGGUGCCAGACAGCGGGGUAAUUCCA
RNAcentral lists this ribosomal RNA (146 nucleotides) under uncultured fungus. Its description in RNAcentral is "partial 18S small subunit ribosomal RNA". It matches the Rfam family "Eukaryotic small subunit ribosomal RNA", at positions 443 to 587 of the family's 1831-position model. The record is from RNAcentral. Lineage: Eukaryota; Fungi.